Molecule: ribosomal RNA, 389 nt
Filed under: Salmonella enterica subsp. enterica serovar Enteritidis
Lineage: Bacteria; Pseudomonadati; Pseudomonadota; Gammaproteobacteria; Enterobacterales; Enterobacteriaceae
Description: partial 23S ribosomal RNA
Rfam family: Bacterial large subunit ribosomal RNA
Source: RNAcentral
GUUAUAUGGUCAAGUGAAGAAGCGCAUACGGUGGAUGCCUUGGCAGUCAGAGGCGAUGAAAGACGUGAUAGCCUGCGAUAAGCUUCGGUGAGGUGGCAAAUGACCUGUGACCCGGAGAUCUCUGAAUGGGGGAACCCACCUAGCAUAAGCUAGGUAUCUUAACCUGAAUCCAUAGGGUUAAGAGGCGAACCAGGGGAACUGAAACAUCUAAGUACCCUGAGGAAAAGAAAUCAACCGAGAUUCCCUUAGUAGUGGCGAGCGAACGGGGACCAGCCCUUAAGUUGAUUUGAGAGUAGCGGAACGCUCUGGAAAGUGCGGCCAUAGUGGGUGAUAGCCCUGUACGCGAAACGCUCUUAUCAAUGAAAUCGAGUAGGACGGGGCACGAGAAA